AUAUUGGUUGGCCUUUUGGUUGACAAUCCAUUUAAAUGUCUACAUUCCAUUUCAUUAAUAUACAUACUCAUUCAGCAUGACUUUUGCUAACGUCGUCGUCGUCGCCGCCGCCAUAUAUUAAAUGGAUUUUUGGGACAGGGAGAUGGAAGAAGAGCUUGCUCUGUCCACUCCACGCAUUGACCUGGUAUUGCAGUACCUCCAGGACCGGUGCACCUCUC
Molecule: non-coding RNA, 218 nt
Organism: Pelobates cultripes (western spadefoot toad)
Lineage: Eukaryota; Metazoa; Chordata; Amphibia; Anura; Pelobatidae
Source: the annotation of a GenBank genome assembly